Molecule: RNA transcript, 3788 nt
Organism: Onychomys torridus (southern grasshopper mouse)
Lineage: Eukaryota; Metazoa; Chordata; Mammalia; Rodentia; Cricetidae
Gene: Celf3
Gene name: CUGBP Elav-like family member 3
Exons: 13
Source: RefSeq, a predicted model, not a curated record
CAGCAGCCCAGGCCGGGGUACCAUCCAGGGUGGGGGUGGGAGGGGGGGUCGAGGGAGAACCUGAAGGGGGCAGGGCAGAAGGGACCCCCGGAGCCCUGCCGCCAUCAGAGAUCAAGCAUUUGGCAUCAGGGAUCUUCGGACCCAGCAGAAGGAUCAGCCACAAGGGAGGUGUCCUCCCUAGGAAGCCAACAAGAGAGUCACCUGCCCCACAUCAGGAGCAGGGACCCCCCAUGACGCUGCUGGAAACCCUAUCAGGCCCCUAGCCCCUCAGCCUCCUUCCGGUCGCCCUCCUCGGACUCUUUGCCCAUCUCCUUUGGCAUUUGUGCCUUUCUUCCCGCUCUCUGAGCUCCAGCGCUCCUGCUACCACCCAAACGCCCCAGGGCUUAGCUGCCCUGACCCCCAUCCUGGGAUAUUUGCCAGAUCUCUGGGAGGGAGAUUGUUUGUUUGGGCCAUGCCCCCUGGUGGCCUGACAGUGUCUGCCUAGACCCCUGACCCCUAGCCCUCAACUCCCCAGGCCUCCUUUGUGUGAAGAGCUCUCCUCUGAUCAGCACUGUGGUUGGGGGCCAAAGGGAAAGCCGGCCCUGCUGGGCCCCUGGGCCCCACCACCUGCCUCCUGGUUGGGCAGCUUCCCUUGUCUUUGGGCUUCUCCCUGCUUCCCCCCUGGCCCCUCCUCCUGGGCCGCCCCAAUGAAGGAGCCGGAUGCCAUCAAGCUGUUUGUGGGGCAGAUCCCGAGGCAUCUGGAGGAAAAGGACCUGAAGCCCAUCUUUGAGCAGUUCGGUCGGAUCUUCGAGCUGACUGUCAUCAAGGACAAGUACACCGGGCUGCACAAGGGAUGUGCCUUCCUGACAUACUGUGCCCGCGAUUCAGCCCUGAAGGCCCAGAGCGCCCUGCACGAACAGAAGACUCUCCCAGGGAUGAACAGGCCGAUCCAGGUCAAGCCAGCCGACAGCGAGAGUCGAGGAGAAGACCGGAAGCUCUUUGUGGGGAUGCUAGGAAAGCAGCAGACAGAUGAGGAUGUACGGAAGAUGUUUGAACCAUUUGGGACCAUAGACGAGUGCACUGUGCUCCGGGGGCCAGACGGCACCAGCAAAGGCUGUGCCUUUGUGAAGUUCCAGACUCACGCCGAGGCCCAGGCUGCCAUCAACACCCUCCACAGCAGCCGGACCCUGCCGGGUGCCUCAUCCAGCCUGGUGGUAAAGUUUGCUGACACAGAGAAGGAGCGAGGUCUCCGCCGAAUGCAACAGGUGGCUACCCAGCUGGGCAUGUUCAGCCCUAUCGCCCUCCAGUUUGGAGCCUACAGCGCCUACACUCAGGCCCUGAUGCAGCAACAGGCAGCCCUGGUAGCAGCUCACAGUGCCUACCUCAGCCCUAUGGCCACCAUGGCUGCCGUGCAGAUGCAGCACAUGGCUGCCAUCAAUGCCAAUGGCCUCAUCGCCACCCCCAUCACUCCAUCCUCAGGAACCAGCACCCCCCCUGCCAUUGCUGCCACGCCCGUCUCUGCCAUCCCUGCUGCCUUGGGCGUCAACGGCUACAGCCCGGUGCCCCCCCAGCCCACGGGGCAGCCUGCCCCUGAUGCUCUGUAUCCCAACGGGGUUCACCCUUACCCAGCCCAGAGCCCCGCUGCCCCUGUGGAUCCCCUCCAGCAGGCCUAUGCAGGAAUGCAGCACUACACAGCAGCCUAUCCUGCAGCCUACAGCCUGGUUGCACCUGCGUUCCCCCAGCCUCCAGCCCUGGUUGCCCAGCAGCCCCCACCACCACCUCAGCAGCAGCAGCAGCAGCAGCAACAGCAACAGCAACAACGGGAAGGCCCUGACGGCUGCAACAUCUUCAUCUACCACCUGCCCCAGGAGUUCACGGACUCAGAGAUCCUCCAGAUGUUUGUCCCUUUUGGUCAUGUCAUCUCUGCCAAAGUCUUUGUUGAUCGGGCCACCAAUCAGAGCAAAUGUUUUGGCUUUGUGAGUUUCGACAAUCCAGCCAGUGCCCAGGCUGCCAUCCAGGCAAUGAAUGGUUUCCAGAUUGGCAUGAAGCGCCUCAAAGUCCAGCUAAAGCGGCCUAAGGAUGCAAACAAGCCCUACUAAGGGCUUCAGGUGGGUGCUGCUCUGUCCUGUGACCUCAUCUCCAGACUCCACAUACUGUGACCAUUCUUCCACUACCAAUCCACCCUGAUGCUGGGCAUAAGGAACUCAGGUCUGGGCCACUCCCUCAGCUAUUGUUCAGUCAGUUGUGUCUCCAGCAGCGUGUACACACACACACACACACACACACCACCCCAGAGAGAGCCAAAUCUACACCUGUGUCUACUACCAGUUUUCCACAGUAUCUGGUCUUGUCUGGUCAGUGUCCAUCCAUGUGUCUGUGUCUUUCUCUUUCUUGUUUUCCUUUGGGUUGGAUGAAAUUAGCAGAGUAGGUUUUGGGGGCCAGGAGGCUGCUUUAGAGAACUCGAGGGUCAUAGAGCCUCUUGGUUUUGAACCCUUGUCUCCUGAGAAGUGGAGACACUCAGGUCCUGUUGCCUGUUGCCCUCAACUCCAGGGCAGCGACUCUGGGGCAGAACGCGAUGGGAGUGGGCGUGGCUUGGCUUAGUGGAGGAAGUGGACUAGCACCUACCUGGGAAGUAUACUGGGCCCCUCCAGCCCAGUGAGGCCGCAAUCCAGACUUGGGGCACAGACCUGUGAACCCUGGCUACUUUUGUUUAAUCUCCUUUGGACCAAACCUUGAAAAAGUCACAACCCAAGAACAAUACCCACAUUUCUGUUUCUCCCCUUUCCCCCCAAUCCUGGCUGCUUAACCCCCCCCACCCUGGGGGCCCCCAGCCCAGGGUCCGUGUCCAUUGUCGGCUGAAGCCCCCAUCCCGGACCCCUGCUCCGGGCCCCUGUCUCGAGAUACCAGAGGAAGGGGCACUUGAUCCUCUCUUCCCAUCACUGGCCCCGGCCUUCUCUGCACAUCUGCCCUGGGCCUUGAUUGGAAUCUGGGGCAAAAGCUGCUUCAUAGCCCUAAGGGCCCAGGACCUGGCUCACUCCACCACCUUGCCUCUCUGAAGGGCCAUGGCUUUGCUUCCCUGGCUCCAAGAGCCUAUUUCCUCCCCAGUGCCCUUUUGGCCUUUGUGAGGAAGCAGGGAAUAGGCUCGAAGGCUCAGGGCUAUCUGCCUUCUGCUAAGGCUCCCGAGUUGGGCCUCGGCACCCCUGCUCGCACUUGCUCCCCUCAGUGGGCCUGGAGAAGCUGUGCAGGCCCACGAGGGCAGCCACGAGGGCAGCCAGGCGUCCUCCCUCCCAAGCGUCCUCACCCCAGCUCUUCCCCAGCAGGGGUUUCUCAGAAGCUGGUUCUCACAUUUCCCUCCACCCUCAGCUAGAGGUAGGGUAUCUCCAAAUCCCAGGCUCCCAGCCCUAAAGCUCACUGCCUCCCCCAAGGGCCCCCUCAAAGGAGGGUGUGGGGGAGCCCUAAGGGCUGCCUCUCUGCCAGUCAGUCACAGAGACCCUCCUUUCACGAGGAAAAGACCUUCCCCUGAAUCCCUAAAAAUGUUUACAGUCUCUGCUGGCCCCUCCAUGUAUAUCCCAUGACCACCAGGGCAUCACCAGCCCAACCAGCCAGACGCUGCCAUCCCUCUUUCUGGGAAUUUAGACAAUGUUGCCCUUGGAUUUUUUUCCCUCUCUCUUAUUUCUCCCUUUGCUUUGGGGGUAAUUGGGUAUUUGGGAGGAAGGGUGUGGGGAGGGCUAAAGGGGUUUAUUACCUGAUCAUUUUCUUUAGGAGGAGGUUUUAGGGAAAAGACCAUGGGUGGGGGUGGGAUGGUAAAG